AAAUUGAAGAGUUUGAUCAUGGCUCAGAUUGAACGCUGGCGGCAGGCCUAACACAUGCAAGUCGAGCGGUAGCACAGAGAGCUUGCUCUCGGGUGACGAGCGGCGGACGGGUGAGUAAUGUCUGGGAAACUGCCUGAUGGAGGGGGAUAACUACUGGAAACGGUAGCUAAUACCGCAUAACGUCGCAAGACCAAAGUGGGGGACCUUCGGGCCUCAUGCCAUCAGAUGUGCCCAGAUGGGAUUAGCUAGUAGGUGGGGUAAUGGCUCACCUAGGCGACGAUCCCUAGCUGGUCUGAGAGGAUGACCAGCCACACUGGAACUGAGACACGGUCCAGACUCCUACGGGAGGCAGCAGUGGGGAAUAUUGCACAAUGGGCGCAAGCCUGAUGCAGCCAUGCCGCGUGUGUGAAGAAGGCCUUCGGGUUGUAAAGCACUUUCAGCGGGGAGGAAGGCGUUAAGGUUAAUAACCUUGGCGAUUGACGUUACCCGCAGAAGAAGCACCGGCUAACUCCGUGCCAGCAGCCGCGGUAAUACGGAGGGUGCAAGCGUUAAUCGGAAUUACUGGGCGUAAAGCGCACGCAGGCGGUCUGUCAAGUCGGAUGUGAAAUCCCCGGGCUCAACCUGGGAACUGCAUUCGAAACUGGCAGGCUAGAGUCUUGUAGAGGGGGGUAGAAUUCCAGGUGUAGCGGUGAAAUGCGUAGAGAUCUGGAGGAAUACCGGUGGCGAAGGCGGCCCCCUGGACAAAGACUGACGCUCAGGUGCGAAAGCGUGGGGAGCAAACAGGAUUAGAUACCCUGGUAGUCCACGCCGUAAACGAUGUCGAUUUGGAGGUUGUGCCCUUGAGGCGUGGCUUCCGGAGCUAACGCGUUAAAUCGACCGCCUGGGGAGUACGGCCGCAAGGUUAAAACUCAAAUGAAUUGACGGGGGCCCGCACAAGCGGUGGAGCAUGUGGUUUAAUUCGAUGCAACGCGAAGAACCUUACCUGGUCUUGACAUCCACAGAACUUUCCAGAGAUGGAUUGGUGCCUUCGGGAACUGUGAGACAGGUGCUGCAUGGCUGUCGUCAGCUCGUGUUGUGAAAUGUUGGGUUAAGUCCCGCAACGAGCGCAACCCUUAUCCUUUGUUGCCAGCGGUUAGGCCGGGAACUCAAAGGAGACUGCCAGUGAUAAACUGGAGGAAGGUGGGGAUGACGUCAAGUCAUCAUGGCCCUUACGACCAGGGCUACACACGUGCUACAAUGGCAUAUACAAAGAGAAGCGACCUCGCGAGAGCAAGCGGACCUCAUAAAGUAUGUCGUAGUCCGGAUUGGAGUCUGCAACUCGACUCCAUGAAGUCGGAAUCGCUAGUAAUCGUAGAUCAGAAUGCUACGGUGAAUACGUUCCCGGGCCUUGUACACACCGCCCGUCACACCAUGGGAGUGGGUUGCAAAAGAAGUAGGUAGCUUAACCUUCGGGAGGGCGCUUACCACUUUGUGAUUCAUGACUGGGGUGAAGUCGUAACAAGGUAACCGUAGGGGAACCUGCGGUUGGAUCACCUCCUUA
Molecule: ribosomal RNA, 1540 nt
Filed under: Klebsiella pneumoniae
Lineage: Bacteria; Pseudomonadati; Pseudomonadota; Gammaproteobacteria; Enterobacterales; Enterobacteriaceae
Also listed under: 2 other names
Description: bacterial SSU rRNA
Rfam family: Bacterial small subunit ribosomal RNA
Source: RNAcentral